ACAAAACAUGCUGGAAUAGAUUGUUUGCUACAAAUAUCUCCAAUCUUCUUUUUUCCACACAAAAUCAAUAGGACUUGCUCUAUGGAGAGGUGAUGUAGGUGGAUGUCCACAUAGGUUUUAUAACUUGGCAGAUGUGACAAGUCCACCUACUCCCCAGAUAUCAGUGAAAAAGAUGGGAAGAUGACCCCUACAAGCAAAACACCUGACUCUACCACAUACCGUGUUACUAUAGGUGGGAGACAAGAGCAUGGAUAUGGAGUUGAGUGGAAAGUGAAGAGUCGAAGAUGACUUCAUCGUUUUGAACCUGAGUGAUUGGAAGGAUAAAGAAGAAGUCAAGAAAAGAGAGGACACAAAAUGGUUUAGAGCCAUUACCUUUUUUUAGGCAUUCUUAUUCUGGGAUCUAUAAACUUGUUUUAUUAAAAAAUAUUUUGAAAACUAUUUCAAUGUAAUUUUCUUCAUACUUUCUAUGCAUUUUAUUUUAUGCAUUUAAAAACAUUAAUUUGAGAUGGGUUAAUAGGCUUCACUAGACUGCAAGACGCGUCUGUUGAUGGUUUAUCUCUUAACAUCAGUACUUUCUUAGGACAGGAUAGAUGCUGGGACAAAAUGAGGCACUUGCAAGACUGAACAUUUAACAUGAGGAGGUUUACUUAACCCUAACGCAUCAAGGAUAUGUAGCAAGUAUACUGUGACAGUUUCUCUUGACAUUGUCCCUUCUCUUCUCCCAAUUUCCACUUGAAAAUCUAGAUUAGCAGAGUAGGGUAGGAUGUGACUCGUGUGGGCUUCAGAAAUCCACCAAGGGAAAAGGAAUCUAGAUCCACAUGGCAGAACUAUCUAUUCCCUUAGAUGACCAAAAUGCAGCAGCCAUGAAGGAAACCAGGGGCUACCAAGUCCCAGGGCCAGCUUUGUUGUAGGCCUACCCCAAAUUGGUUGGUACA
This 935-nucleotide long non-coding RNA is filed under the name Monodelphis domestica (gray short-tailed opossum). RNAcentral describes it as "lncRNA (ENSMODG00000039110.1)". Lineage: Eukaryota; Metazoa; Chordata; Mammalia; Didelphimorphia; Didelphidae. The record is from RNAcentral.